Molecule: ribosomal RNA, 553 nt
Filed under: Calidris falcinellus
Lineage: Eukaryota; Metazoa; Chordata; Aves; Charadriiformes; Scolopacidae
Description: partial 12S ribosomal RNA
Rfam family: Bacterial small subunit ribosomal RNA
Source: RNAcentral
UAAGAUCAAAGUACAACUAAGCUGUCAUAAGCCCAAGAUGUGCCUAAGACCCCCCUUAAAAACGAUCUUAGCGGCUUUUGAUCAAUUUAAUUCCACGAAAGCUAAGACACAAACUGGGAUUAGAUACCCCACUAUGCUUAGCCCUAAAUCUUGAUGCUCUCCUGUACCAAGCAUCCGCCCGAGAACUACGAGCACAAACGCUUAAAACUCUAAGGACUUGGCGGUGCCCUAAACCCACCUAGAGGAGCCUGUUCUGUAAUCGAUAACCCACGUUACACCCGACCACCCCUUGCCAAAACAGCCUACAUACCGCCGUCGCCAGCUCACCUCCCCUGAGAGUCCAACAGUGAGCACAAUAGCCUAAACCCGCUAAUAAGACAGGUCGAGGUAUAGCCUACGGGGUGGAAGAAAUGGGCUACAUUUUCUAGAAUAGAAAACCCACGGAAGGGGGCAUGAAAUCGGCCCCCCAAAGGCGGAUUUAGUAGUAAAGUAGGACAAUAUAAGCCUCCUUUAAAUCGGCCCUGGGGCACGUACAUACCGCCCGUCACCCUCC